UUUGUGUUCAUUCACUGCCUCCUGGAAACAUGCAGAUGCAGCCGCUCCGUUUUCUGCAGUAUUGUAGUUCAUGCAACCGUGCACUAGGCCAUGAGGCAGAUAUCUACAUUUACAAGGGGGAGAGUGCUUUCUGUAGUACUGAAUGCCGAGAAAAAGGAAUGAUGAUUGACCAUGCUCGAAGGAACCCGUCUUGAAAUUGCACAUCCAUAUCCAUCAGCAAUUAAACGAUUUGAAAUCAUGUUCGGAGAAAGUAUGGCUGUGAUACUCCGUAAUGUAGUUGGUUAUUCAACUAUUUCUGGACUAUAUCUAUCUUAUGAAAUGAAACUGGCACUUUUGUGUUUGAUUUUUUUAGCCAACACCAACUUUGCAACAUGAAAAAUGAUAAAUCAAGAGGCAUCUAGUGUUUGGGCA
Molecule: long non-coding RNA, 411 nt
Organism: Panicum hallii
Lineage: Eukaryota; Viridiplantae; Streptophyta; Magnoliopsida; Poales; Poaceae
Exons: 2
Source: RefSeq, a predicted model, not a curated record